This 1291-nucleotide long non-coding RNA is filed under the name Triticum aestivum (bread wheat). RNAcentral's name for it is "long non-coding RNA (TAES_LNC004240)". The record is from RNAcentral. Lineage: Eukaryota; Viridiplantae; Streptophyta; Magnoliopsida; Poales; Poaceae.
GGAUACAAGUGGGCGAGGCCAACUUGCACAAAAUGAUCCAUCUUGACCAGCGAGAGGCCAUAGCCGUUAAGCGACAUGAGUGAUUUGACAAGGCCUUGCAGCUUGUGGUGCAACCAAGAGCUCCCUAAUGGUGGCCGGGAGGUUUUCCUGUUCAGCGCUGCUAGAGGACAUAAAAAAAGAGCAAAAUUUCAGUUUCAGUACUAAUGAAAAAAAAAACGGAAGAAAUCUUUUCACCUAAAAUCACAAUGUUGGUCCUUAUUGGAGCAAGAAUACUUUUCACAGAUAAUCAGAACAGAGAUCCACAUUAGAUCACAGAAACUUUCCACCUAGUCAAUAUCAGUACUGAUAUGAACCACUUUAUAAGAUUCAAAAUCAAGAAACUGUAGUAUUUAAUAGAGAUUAAAUGUGCAAACUCUAGCAGUGAACUACAUGGAUGCUAAUAAAAUAAAUGGAUUCGAUUAAACUGGAAUUUCAAAUAAAUAUACAGAGGCACCAUGAUUGCUUUACAACAUAUUCAUAUUUGCAUAAUCCAAGAAAAAAAUAGCUCUCCUCCACCUCAUCAGAAACCUUGUAGGUAGAGAGGUCAGUGAAGACACAGAUUGAGUAGGGCGUGGCUGGGAUCCACGCAAUGAUGUAGCAACAAGGUCGCCCUAUGAGUGAAUAUGCGUACAAGUGAGGAUGUGCCCACCACCACUCUUCUCCACCACCUCAUCAUCAUCAUCUUCUUCUUCCCUACUCUCAUCUUCUUCAUCAAGCAAUGGGCUAAUGCCAUCUUUUUUUCAUUGAUGUUGGUUGUCACGGGCCGGAGGCUAUUAAGCUAACACUCAAUCAGACAUUUAAAUAUUAGGUGCAGAGAAGAGAACGAGAUACACAUACCUCGCCCUUGCUCACGGAUCAACUGUAGAUGUAGUUAUAUAUCCUCCAUCCAAUACUGCAUGCCUCCGAUCCAAAGCGUCAUGACAAUCUCGCUCGGCCCAGCGGGUGGCUGUGUCAGGGUAGACGGACGACUGAAGGAGUCAACCAAAGGGAGACGACUGUGCCUGCGAAUAUGCAGCGGACUCGGGUGGUGGCUGGCCGCAGCAACGCGUAUGGCUCGUGCGGCGGGAUGGCGAUCCAAUCUUGCAGCUGCUGGGGGUGCGGACAGGCGACACCGGGCUGCGAGGUAGGGCAAUGAGAGGAGGAGGAGAUGGUAGGUGUUCCACAGGUGUCGCGGCCGGUGCGGUGCUUGCUGCGGGAGAGAGGGGCCGCCAUUGGGGGGGUGUCGGUUUGGGAGAGGGAGAUCUGUAGAUGG